Oncorhynchus tshawytscha (Chinook salmon) is the source of this 552-nucleotide long non-coding RNA. Lineage: Eukaryota; Metazoa; Chordata; Actinopteri; Salmoniformes; Salmonidae. The record is from Ensembl.
GUAUCAACAGUGUAGAUAUAAACUGGUAUCAACAGUGUUCAGGUGGUGUUCAGGUUGGAAGACAGUACAGAUAUAAACUGGUAUCAACAGUGUUCAGGUUGGAAGACAGAACAGAUAUAAACUGGUAUCAACAGUGUUCAGGUUGGGAGACAGUACAGAUAUAAACUGGUAUCAACAGUGUUCAGGUUGGAAGAUUAUUGGGUAGUUUGGUUCAUCAGGCUGACCCACAGUCUUCAUGGAGGAGAUUACUGAGUAGUUGGCCCCCGCGAUAUGUAACUGUUCAGGGAAGUUUGGAACCAAUAUACACAGGCAGUUAGGAAAGCAAAGGCUAGCUUUUUCAACCAGAAUUGUGCAUCCUGUAGCAUAAACUCCAAAAGUUCUGGGACAAAAGUCCAUGGAGAAUAAGAACACCUCCUCCCAGCUGCCCACUGCUCUGAGGCUAGGAAACACUGUCACGAUAAAUCUACCAUAAUUGAGAAUUUCAAUAAGCAUUUUUCUACGGCUGGCCAUGCUUUCCACCUGGCUACCCCUACCCCGGUCAACAGCUCUGCA